GUAAAAUUAAUUCUUAUGCUGGUUUAAUACUUGUCUAUAAUAUUAAUUAAUUCUCAUAACUUUCGAAAAAAAAAAAGUUUCUCUAGAAAGUUCCGUAUUUCCCCUGGAAGUUGAAGCUUUUAAGAGGACGCAACAAUGGCCGAUGAGGACUAUGAUAGGGAUGAUCGGAGGGUUACGCUAGCGUGCACGACCGAAUUUAUCCAUGGCUGGAGGAACGGGUAGGGAACGUUGAAGCCUAGAAAGAAUCCUAUAAUCACUUUUGGAUGUCUAGAGAGCUCUCGAGUUCAAGAAAAAAAUCUACUGGAGAGGUGAAGGAACAAUUAAAUGGCUGCAAAACUACUCAGAUGUCAAAAGGGAAUGCUGAAGAUGACAGAGCUAUUGGAGUCACCAUGGGUUGGAUUAUUCACAGGGAAAAGCAGUGUUUCUGUGGAUGGUCCAAUUUAUAUGAAGAUUAAAUACAUCACGAGGAGGUCCACAUCAUUCCUUCAUUCAAGAAACCUACUACUUCAACCGUCAAAGAAGGAGCAGAGGUAGAAGAAGAAAAUGGCAAUCUUGAGGACGUACCAGACCCCAUAUUGGGUGAAGGUGAGGAAGGACCAGAGGAAGAGCCUGUGAAGUGACCUCGGGAAACAUCUAAGUGUAUGGAAAAAUAUGAACCUGCAAGAAUCCUGGCAUGAAUGCUCCUGUGAUGGUUGAGUUGGAGGGUGAAACUGAUCCUCUUGAGACGAGACUGUCCUUUUUUUACUUGCACUCAGUGACUGUCCUUCGCAAUUUGCUGGUACUACUUGCCUGAUGGAAG
Long non-coding RNA from Solanum dulcamara, 799 nucleotides. RefSeq lists it as uncharacterized. The transcript is spliced from 5 exons. Lineage: Eukaryota; Viridiplantae; Streptophyta; Magnoliopsida; Solanales; Solanaceae. The record is from RefSeq and is a predicted model, not a curated record.